This 253-nucleotide ribosomal RNA is filed under the name uncultured bacterium. Its description in RNAcentral is "partial 16S ribosomal RNA". It matches the Rfam family "Bacterial small subunit ribosomal RNA", at positions 524 to 776 of the family's 1533-position model. The record is from RNAcentral.
UACAGAGGUCUCAAGCGUUGUUCGGAAUCACUGGGCGUAAAGGGUGCGUAAGCCGCACGGUAAGUCAGAGAUGAAAUCCCGGAGCUCAACUUCGGAAUUGCCUCCGAUACUGCCGUGCUUGAGGACUGGAGAGGAGAUUGGAAUUCACAGUGGAGCAGUGAAAUGCGUAGAUAUUGUGAGGAACACUAGUGGCGAAGGCGAAUCUCUGGACAGUUCCUGACGCUGAGGCACGAAGGCCAGGAGAGCAAACGGG